This 497-nucleotide ribosomal RNA is filed under the name uncultured bacterium. RNAcentral's name for it is "partial 16S ribosomal RNA". It matches the Rfam family "Bacterial small subunit ribosomal RNA", at positions 28 to 507 of the family's 1533-position model. The record is from RNAcentral.
GAUGAACGCUGGCGGCGUGCCUAAUACAUGCAAGUCGAGCGAACAGAUGAGGAGCUUGCUCCUCUGACGUUAGCGGCGGACGGGUGAGUAACACGUGGAUAACCUACCUAUAAGACUGGGAUAACUUCGGGAAACCGGAGCUAAUACCGGAUAAUAUAUUGAACCGCAUGGUUCAAUAGUGAAAGACGGUUUUGCUGUCACUUAUAGAUGGAUCCGCGCCGUAUUAGCUAGUUGGUAAGGUAACGGCUUACCAAGGCAACGAUGCGUAGCCGACCUGAGAGGGGGAUCGCCCACAUGGGAACUGGACCGGGGUCAGGACGCCUACGAGACGGCCCAGUAGGGAAUCUUCCGCAGUGGUCGGAAACCUGGCGGAGCGGGCCGGCGCGAGUGACGAAGGUCUUCGGUGCGUAAAACUCUGUUUUGGGGGAAGAACAACUUUGUACUUAGCUAUGCACUUCUUGACGGUACCUGAUAAAAAAGCACCGGCUAACUACGUG